RNAcentral lists this long non-coding RNA (402 nucleotides) under Olea europaea subsp. europaea. The record is from RNAcentral. Lineage: Eukaryota; Viridiplantae; Streptophyta; Magnoliopsida; Lamiales; Oleaceae.
AGGGACCAUACUUUUCACUUGGAUUAGGAAGGGUCCUUGUCGGUAUCUCAGGAUGUGUAAGAGUACGAGCAGUCUCGACUAAAGGGGCAGAGCAAGUGGGAAUACUUUCGAUGGUUGACCGAGUCCCAAUUUUGCGAGCCAGAGGUAGAGAAGUGUUAGGUGAUUGACAUGUCUGAGACAAGGGAGGUGCUGACCUAUUGGCUUGCAAUGAAUGUUGGAAUGAAAGAAAAGGUACAAAUCUAUUAGUGGACAAGCUAUUAGAUAGUGAAGUCUGAAGCAGUGGAGGCAUUUCUGUGCUCGUCACUCGAGAUCUUAGGUGCUUGAGGUACAUGGGAGUUGUUAGGAUGUUUCUUAUGACAAAUUAGAUUCAUCUGCACAAAAACAAGUAAUAAUUAGACUAUA